RNAcentral lists this small nuclear RNA (283 nucleotides) under Myotis brandtii (Brandt's bat). RNAcentral's name for it is "7SK RNA". It matches the Rfam family "7SK RNA". From Rfam's summary of the family: 7SK was discovered as an abundant small nuclear RNA in the mid-70s but a possible function has only recently been suggested. The record is from Rfam by way of RNAcentral. Lineage: Eukaryota; Metazoa; Chordata; Mammalia; Chiroptera; Vespertilionidae.
GGUCAUGGUGUGGAUUUGGCUGCCACAUCUAUCACCCAUUGCUCUCCAGAGUUCAUUCUGCUCAUCUGACUUGCUAGGUGAGAUCCUUUUUACCACACAGGUCUCCAUUAGCAUCUCCCGCAAAGCUCAAUCAAAAGGGAUGACUUUCCCUUAUGGAGAAGAAGUCAUCUGCAAUCAAGGGAACUGAAGCUGCUAAAUUCCCUGGUUAUAAAUACAAAACUAGUUCUGCUUGGUGUGGGGGGGGCAGGUGGAAGGGUAAAUAAUUUUCUUUAAUUUGCUAUAU